RNAcentral lists this ribosomal RNA (503 nucleotides) under uncultured bacterium. Its description in RNAcentral is "partial 16S ribosomal RNA". It matches the Rfam family "Bacterial small subunit ribosomal RNA", at positions 30 to 523 of the family's 1533-position model. The record is from RNAcentral.
AUUGAACGCUGGCGGCAGGCUUAACACAUGCAAGUCGAGCGGAGUGAUGGUGCUUGCACUAUCACUUAGCGGCGGACGGGUGAGUAAUGCUUAGGAAUCUGCCUAUUAGUGGGGGACAACAUCUCGAAAGGGAUGCUAAUACCGCAUACGUCCUACGGGAGAAAGCAGGGGAUCACUUGUGACCUUGCGCUAAUAGAUGAGCCUAAGUCGGAUUAGCUAGUUGGUGGGGUAAAGGCCUACCAAGGCGACGAUCUGUAGCGGGUCUGAGAGGAUGAUCCGCCACACUGGGACUGAGACACGGCCCAGACUCCUAUGGGAGGCAGCAGUGGGGAAUAUUGGACAAUGGGGGAAACCCUGAUCCAGCCAUGCCGCGUGUGUGAAGAAGGCCAUAUGGUUGCAAAGCACUUUAAGCGAGGAGGAGGCUACUGAGACUAAUACUCUUGGAUAGUGGACGUUACUCGCAGAAUAAGCACCGGCUAACUCUGUGCCAGCCGCCGCCGUAA